Molecule: ribosomal RNA, 494 nt
Filed under: uncultured bacterium
Lineage: Bacteria
Description: partial 16S ribosomal RNA
Rfam family: Bacterial small subunit ribosomal RNA
Source: RNAcentral
GACGAACGCUGGCGGCGUGCUUAACACAUGCAAGUCGAACGGAAGGGCCUGCUUUCCCUUGUGGAUUGCGGGUACUCGAGUGGCGAACGGGUGAGUAACACGUGAGGGAUCUGCCCCCAACUUGGGUAUAAGCCUGGGAAACUGGGUCUAAUUCCCGAUAGGACUGCAGGGUGGUGCCUGUGGUGGAAAACGAUUUUCUAGUGGUUGGGGAUGAGCUCGCGGCCUAUCAGCUUGUUGGUGGGGUAAUGGCCUACCAAGGCGGCGACGGGUAGCCGGCCUGAGAGGGUGGACGGCCACAUUGGGACUGAGAGACGGCCCAGACUCCUACGGGAGGCAGCAGUGGGGAAUAUUGCACACUGGGCGGAAGCCUGAUGCAGCGACGCCGCGUGGGGGAUGACGGCCUUCGGGUUGUAAACUCCUUUCGACCGCGAGGAAGCCACCUGGCUGGAAGGGUGGUGACGGUAGUGGUAGAAGAAGCACCGGCUAACUACGUG